Molecule: ribosomal RNA, 501 nt
Filed under: uncultured bacterium
Lineage: Bacteria
Description: bacterial SSU rRNA
Rfam family: Bacterial small subunit ribosomal RNA
Source: RNAcentral
AUUGAACGCUGGCGGCAGGCCUAACACAUGCAAGUCGAGCGGUAGCACAGAGAGCUUGCUCUCGGGUGACGAGCGGCGGACGGGUGAGUAAUGUCUGGGAAACUGCCUGAUGGAGGGGGAUAACUACUGGAAACGGUAGCUAAUACCGCAUAACGUCGCAAGACCAAAGUGGGGGGACCUUCGGGCCUCAUGCCAUCAGAUGUGCCCAGAUGGGAUUAGCUAGUAGGUGGGGUAAUGGCUCACCUAGGCGACGACCCCUAGCUGGUCUGAGAGGAUGACCAGCCACACUGGAACUGAGACACGGUCCAGACUCCUACGGGAGGCAGCAGUGGGGAAUAUUGCACAAUGGGCGCAAGCCUGAUGCAGCCAUGCCGCGUGUAAUGAAGAAGGCCUUCGGGUUGUAAAGUACUUUCAGCGAGGAGGAAGGCAUUAAGGUUAAUAACCUUAGUGAUUGACGUUACUCGCAGAAGAAGCACCGGCUAACUCCGUGCCAGCAGCCGC